This 1050-nucleotide ribosomal RNA is filed under the name Triticum aestivum (bread wheat). Its description in RNAcentral is "partial small subunit ribosomal RNA". Lineage: Eukaryota; Viridiplantae; Streptophyta; Magnoliopsida; Poales; Poaceae. The record is from RNAcentral.
AUGGCGUCGACUCACAGCUCGCGCCGCCUCGACGGCACACUGUUUGCGCUUCUGCUCGUGCUUGCGGCCGCCACCGCCUUUGUCAGUGCUGCCGCGGCGCGAGGGGACGCGCUGGCCGCCCGGCACGAGCGGUGGAUGGCCAAGUUCGGCCGCGAGUACACGGACGCUGCCGAGAAAUUACGCCGGCAGGAGGUGUUCGCGGCCAACGCGCGGCACGUCGAGGCUGUCAAUCGAGCGGGCAACCGGACAUACACGCUCGGCCUCAAUCAGUUCUCGGACCUCACCAGCGAAGAGUUCGCGGAGAAGCACCUCGGGUACCGCCACCAGCACGGCGUGGACAGCACACCGGUGGCCGCGGUGAACAUGUCCAAUGCUCAGUUCGACUCCACGCCGGACAGCGUGGACUGGAGGGCCGCGGGUGCCGUCACCCAAGUCAAGAACCAAGGCUCAUGCGGUUGUUGCUGGGCGUUCGCGGCGGUAGCGGCGACGGAGGGGCUCGUAAAGAUAGCCACUGGCAACCUCAUCUCCAUGUCAGAGCAGCAGGUGCUGGACUGCACGGGCGGCGCCAACUCCUGCAACGGCGGCGACAUCAAUGCCGCCCUAAGCUACGUCGCCUCGAGCGGCGGCCUUCAGCCAGAGGAAUCCUACGCGUAUACCGGCCAGCAGGGCGCGUGCCGCAGCAGCAGCGCCAGCCCAAACUCGGCCGCCUCCAUCGGCGCCCCCCGAAUGGUGGAACUGCACGGCGACGAAGGCACCUUGCAGGAGCUCGCGGCCAGACAGCCGGUGGCCGUGCCCGUGGAGGCUGACCGUGACUUCCAGCACUAUAUGAGGGGCGUGUACACCGGCAGCUCGUCGUGUGGACAGAACCUGAACCACGGCGUGACGGUGGUGGGCUACGGGACGGACAGCGGCGGGCAGGCGUACUGGAUGGUGAAGAACCAGUGGGGGACGGGGUGGGGCGAGGGGGGCUACAUGCGCCUCACGCGCGGGAACGGCGGCAACUGCGGCAUGGCCACCUACGCCUACUACCCGACCAUGGACGGCUCUUAA